Molecule: ribosomal RNA, 490 nt
Filed under: uncultured bacterium
Lineage: Bacteria
Description: partial 16S ribosomal RNA
Rfam family: Bacterial small subunit ribosomal RNA
Source: RNAcentral
AUUGAACGCUGGCGGCAGGCCUAACACAUGCAAGUCGAAUGGUAACAGGAAACAGCUUGCUGUUUCGCUGACGAGUGGCGGACGGGUAAGUAAUGUCUGGGAAACUGCCUGAUGGAGGGGGAUAACUACUGGAAACGGUAGCUAAUACCGCAUAACGUCGCAAGACCAAAGAGGGGGACCUUCGGGCCUCUUGCCAUCAGAUGUGCCCAGAUGGGAUUAGCUAGUAGGUGGGGUAACGGCUCACCUAGGCGACGAUCCCUAGCUGGUCUGAGAGGAUGACCAGCCACACUGGAACUGAGACACGGUCCAGACUCCUACGGGAGGCAGCAGUGGGGAAUAUUGCACAAUGGGCGCAAGCCUGAUGCAGCCAUGCCGCGUGUAUGAAGAAGGCCUUCGGGUUGUAAAGUACUUUCAGCGGGGAGGAAGGGAGUAAAGUUAAUACCUUUGCUCAUUGACGUUACCCGCAGAAGAAGCACCGGCUAACUCCGUG